UACGGAAGGCAGCAGUGGGGAAUAUUGCACAAUGGGCGAAAGCCUGAUGCAGCUAUGCCGCGUGUAUGAAGAAGGCCUUAGGGUUGUAAAGUACUUUCAUCGGGGAGGAAAAAACAAAACUAAUAAUUUUAUUUCUUGACGUUACCCGAAAAAGAAGCACCGGCUAACUCCGUGCCAGCAGCCGCGGUAAUACGGAGGGUGCUAGCGUUAAUCAGAAUUACUGGGCGUAAAGAGCACGUAGGUGGUUUUUUUAAAGUCAGAUGUGAAAUCCCUGGGCUUAACCUGGAACUGCAUUUUGAAACUGAAAUACUAGAGUAUCGUAGAGGGAGGUAGAAUUCUAGGUGUAGCGGUGAAAUGCGUAGAUAUCUGGAGGAAUACCUGUGGCGAAAGCGGCCUCCUAAACGAAUACUGACACUGAGGGUGCGAAAGCGUGGGGAGCAAACGAGGGAUUUAGAUACC
RNAcentral lists this ribosomal RNA (459 nucleotides) under uncultured bacterium. Its description in RNAcentral is "bacterial SSU rRNA". It matches the Rfam family "Bacterial small subunit ribosomal RNA", at positions 340 to 786 of the family's 1533-position model. The record is from RNAcentral.